Molecule: ribosomal RNA, 450 nt
Filed under: uncultured bacterium
Lineage: Bacteria
Description: bacterial SSU rRNA
Rfam family: Bacterial small subunit ribosomal RNA
Source: RNAcentral
AACGAACGCUGGCGGCAUGCCUAACACAUGCAAGUCGAACGAACUCUUCGGAGUUAGUGGCGCACGGGUGCGUAACGCGUGGGAAUCUGCCCUUGGGUACGGAAUAACUCAGAGAAAUUUGUGCUAAUACCGUAUAAUGUCUUCGGACCAAAGAUUUAUCGCCCAAGGAUGAGCCCGCGUAAGAUUAGCUAGUUGGUGGGGUAAAGGCCUACCAAGGCUACGAUCUUUAGCUGGUCUGAGAGGAUGAUCAGCCACACUGGGACUGAGACACGGCCCAGACUCCUACGGGAGGCAGCAGUGGGGAAUAUUGGACAAUGGGCGAAAGCCUGAUCCAGCAAUGCCGCGUGAGUGAUGAAGGCCUUAGGGUUGUAAAGCUCUUUUACCAGGGAUGAUAAUGACAGUACCUGGAGAAUAAGCUCCGGCUAACUCCGUGCCAGCAGCCGCGGUAAU